GACGAACGCUGGCGGCAUGCCUAAUACAUGCAAGUCGAGCGAACAGAUGAAGUGCUCGCACUUCUGACGUUAGCGGCGAACGGGUGAGUAACACGUAAGGAAUCUACCUAUAAGCGGGGGAUAACAUUCGGAAACGGGUGCUAAUACCGCAUAAUAUCUUCUUCCGCAUGGAAGAAGAUUGAAAGACGGCUCUGCUGUCACUUAUAGAUGACCUUGCGGUGCAUUAGUCAGUUGGUGGGGUAAUGGCCUACCAAGACGAUGAUGCAUAGCCGACCUGAGGGGGUGAUCGGCCACAUUGGGACUGAGACACGGCCCAAACUCCUACGGGAGGCAGCAGUAGGGAAUCUUCCGCAAUGGGCGAAAGCCUGACGGAGCAAUGCCGCGUGAGUGAAGAAGGCCUUCGGGUCGUAAAACUCUGUUAUAAGAGAAGAACAAAUUGUAGAGUAACUGCUACAGUCUUGACGGUAUCUUAUCAGAAAGCCACGGCUAACUACGUGCCAGCAGCCGCCGCAG
RNAcentral lists this ribosomal RNA (513 nucleotides) under uncultured bacterium. Its description in RNAcentral is "partial 16S ribosomal RNA". It matches the Rfam family "Bacterial small subunit ribosomal RNA", at positions 28 to 523 of the family's 1533-position model. The record is from RNAcentral.